Molecule: ribosomal RNA, 427 nt
Filed under: uncultured bacterium
Lineage: Bacteria
Description: bacterial SSU rRNA
Rfam family: Bacterial small subunit ribosomal RNA
Source: RNAcentral
UGGGGAAUUUUGGACAAUGGGCGCAAGCCUGAUCCAGCCAUGCCGCGUGCAGGAUGAAGGCCUUCGGGUUGUAAACUGCUUUUGUACGGAACGAAAAGGUGCCUUCUAAUAAAGGGCGCUCAUGACGGUACCGUAAGAAUAAGCACCGGCUAACUACGUGCCAGCAGCCGCGGUAAUACGUAGGGUGCGAGCGUUAAUCGGAAUUACUGGGCGUAAAGCGUGCGCAGGCGGUUUUGUAAGACAGAGGUGAAAUCCCCGGGCUCAACCUGGGAACUUCCUUUGUGACUGCAAGGCUGGAGUGCGGCAGAGGGGGAUGGAAUUCCGCGUGUAGCAGUGAAAUGCGUAGAUAUGCGGAGGAACACCGAUGGCGAAGGCAAUCCCCUGGGCCUGCACUGACGCUCAUGCACGAAAGCGUGGGGAGCAAACA